GACGAACGCUGGCGGCGUGCUUAACACAUGCAAGUCGAACGGAAAGGCCCCUUCGGUGGUACUCGAGUGGCGAACGGGUGCGUAACACGUGAGUAACCUGCCCUUGACUUCGGGAUAACUUCAGGAAACUGGGGCUAAUACCGGUUAGGAAUCCUUGCUUCAUGGUGGGGGUUGGAAAGCUUCGGCGGUUUUGGAUGUACUGGCGGCUUAUCAGCUUGUUGGUGGGGUAGUGGCUUACCAAGGCUUUGACGGGUAGCCGGCCUGAGAGGCCGACCGGCCACAUUGGGACUGAGAGAAGGCCCAGACAGCGACGGGAGGCAGAAGGGGGGAAGAUUGAACAAUGGGCGGAGGGCGGGUGAAGAAGGGCCGCGGGCGGGAUGACGGCCUUCGGGUUGAAAACCGCUUUCAGCAGGGGAGAAGCUUGUGGUGACGGUACCUGCAGAAGAAGCACCGGCUAACUACGUG
This 465-nucleotide ribosomal RNA is filed under the name uncultured bacterium. RNAcentral's name for it is "partial 16S ribosomal RNA". It matches the Rfam family "Bacterial small subunit ribosomal RNA", at positions 28 to 507 of the family's 1533-position model. The record is from RNAcentral.